Molecule: long non-coding RNA, 527 nt
Filed under: Salmo salar (Atlantic salmon)
Lineage: Eukaryota; Metazoa; Chordata; Actinopteri; Salmoniformes; Salmonidae
Description: lncRNA (ENSSSAG00000102185.1)
Source: RNAcentral
AGAGAGAGGGAGAGAGGACUGAGGGAGAGGGAGAGAGAGGACUGUCACUGGUAUAGAGGGACAGUAAGACCCACGGAUCCAGGGAGCGACCGCAGUCAUCACCCCCAGGGAGAGGACUCUGAAACGGGGGACAGAUCCAGCUCACAGGCCCUCGGAUCACAAGCAGCCACACGUCUACUGGCCUUGGUGUUGACUUCGCUACUGACGACACUUUACAUGUACCUACCUAGCUGUUAACGUCAACAAUCUGCUGGUGACCCCCCUUCCAAACGCUUUCAUUUCCUGUUACCUGUGGACCCGUCUGAGGUGAAGAGGAGGGUAAAGAGAACCUCUAGACGUUCUAGAACUAGAACAGAACUGUGUCUGAUGUUCUAGAAGGAGACGGGAUGAUGUCAGACAGGAAGAGGAUAUGACAAUCAUAUAUAUAUAUAUACCUGACUAUACCUGCCAUUAAGUUUCACUAACAACCUAAUACUGAGAUAUUUAACAAAGUCUAAUGUCUCUGGCCUGAAAUACUCUCCUCCUCU